GAUGAAGAACGUAGCGAAAUGCGAUAAUUAAUGUGAAUUGCAGAAUUUAGUGAAUCAUCGAAUCUUUGAACGCACAUUGCGCCCCUUGGUAUUCUGGCGGGCAUGCCUGUUCGAGCGUCAUUUCAACCAUCAAGCCCCCGGCUUGUGUUGGGGACCUGCGGCUGCCGCAGGCCCUGAAAACCAGUGGCGGGCUCGCUAGUCACUCCGAGCGUAGUAUUACAUCUCGCUCAGGGCGUGCUGCGGGUUCCGGCCGUUAAAAAGCCUUAUUUACCCAAGGUUGACCUCGGAUCAGGUAGGAAGACCCGCUGAACUUAAGCAUAUCAAUAAGCGGAGGA
RNAcentral lists this unclassified non-coding RNA (335 nucleotides) under soil metagenome. RNAcentral describes it as "partial contains 5.8S ribosomal RNA, internal transcribed spacer 2, and large subunit ribosomal RNA". The stretch from base 1 to 120 matches the Rfam family "5.8S ribosomal RNA", at positions 35 to 154 of the family's 154-position model. The record is from RNAcentral.